This 254-nucleotide ribosomal RNA is filed under the name uncultured bacterium. RNAcentral's name for it is "partial 16S ribosomal RNA". It matches the Rfam family "Bacterial small subunit ribosomal RNA", at positions 524 to 776 of the family's 1533-position model. The record is from RNAcentral.
UACGUAGGGGGCUAGCGUUGUCCGGAAUCAUUGGGCGUAAAGCGCGCGUAGGCGGCCAGAUAAGUCCGGUGUGAAAGUCAAAGGCUCAACCUUUGAAUGCCGCUGGAAACUGUCUGGCUUGAGUCCGGAAGGGGCGAGUGGAAUUCCUGGUGUAGCGGUGAAAUGCGCAGAUAUCAGGAGGAACACCUAUUGCGAAGGCAGCUCGCUGGGACGUAACUGACGCUGAGACGCGAAAGCGUGGGGGAGCAAGCAGG